RNAcentral lists this ribosomal RNA (525 nucleotides) under uncultured bacterium. RNAcentral's name for it is "bacterial SSU rRNA". It matches the Rfam family "Bacterial small subunit ribosomal RNA", at positions 8 to 524 of the family's 1533-position model. The record is from RNAcentral.
AGAGUUUGAUCCUGGCUCAGAUUGAACGCUGGCGGCAUGCCUUACACAUGCAAGUCGAACGGCAGCAUGGAGAGCUUGCUCUCUGAUGGCGAGUGGCGAACGGGUGAGUAAAGCAUCGGAACGUACCGUGUAGUGGGGGAUAACGUAGCGAAAGUUACGCUAAUACCGCAUACGCACUGAGGUGGAAAGCAGGGGAUCGCAAGACCUUGCGCUAUACGAGCGGCCGAUGUCAGAUUAGCUAGUUGGUAGGGUAAAGGCCUACCAAGGCGACGAUCUGUAGCGGGUCUGAGAGGAUGAUCCGCCACACUGGGACUGAGACACGGCCCAGACUCCUACGGGAGGCAGCAGUGGGGAAUUUUGGACAAUGGGGGCAACCCUGAUCCAGCCAUGCCGCGUGAGUGAAGAAGGCCUUCGGGUUGUAAAGCUCUUUCGGCCGGGAAGAAAUCGCACAGGCUAAUAUCCUGUGUGGAUGACGGUACCGGCAUAAGAAGCACCGGCUAACUACGUGCCAGCAGCCGCGGUAAU